AACGGGUGAGUAACACGUGGGCAAUCUGCCCUUCACUCUGGGACAAGCCCUGGAAACGGGGUCUAAUACCGGAUAACACUCCUGCCUGCAUGGGCGGGAGUUAAAAGCUCCGGCGGUGAAGGAUGAGCCCGCGGCCUAUCAGCUUGUUGGUGGGGUAAUGGCCCACCAAGGCGACGACGGGUAGCCGGCCUGAGAGGGCGACCGGCCACACUGGGACUGAGACACGGCCCAGACUCCUACGGGAGGCAGCAGUGGGGAAUAUUGCACAAUGGGCGAAAGCCUGAUGCAGCGACGCCGCGUGAGGGAUGACGGCCUUCGGGUUGUAAACCUCUUUCAGCAGGGAAGAAGCGAAAGUGACGGUACCUGCAGAAGAAGCGCCGGCUAACUACGUGCCAGCAGCCGCGGUAAUACGUAGGGCGCAAGCGUUGUCCGGAAUUAUUGGGCGUAAAGAGCUCGUAGGCGGCUUGUCACGUCGGGUGUGAAAGCCCGGGGCUUAACCCCGGGUCUGCAUCCGAUACGGGCAGGCUAGAGUGUGGUAGGGGAGAUCGGAAUUCCUGGUGUAGCGGUGAAAUGCGCAGAUAUCAGGAGGAACACCGGUGGCGAAGGCGGAUCUCUGGGCCAUUACUGACGCUGAGGAGCGAAAGCGUGGGGAGCGAACAGGAUUAGAUACCCUGGUAGUCCACGCCGUAAACGUUGGGAACUAGGUGUUGGCGACAUUCCACGUCGUCGGUGCCGCAGCUUACGCAUUAAGUUCCCCGCCUGGGGAGUACGGCCGCAAGGCUAAAACUCAAAGGAAUUGACGGGGGCCCGCCCAAGCAGCGGGAGCAUGUGGCUUAAUUCGA
Molecule: ribosomal RNA, 842 nt
Filed under: Streptomyces sp. T9
Lineage: Bacteria; Bacillati; Actinomycetota; Actinomycetes; Kitasatosporales; Streptomycetaceae
Description: bacterial SSU rRNA
Rfam family: Bacterial small subunit ribosomal RNA
Source: RNAcentral